This is a non-coding RNA of Pelobates cultripes (western spadefoot toad), 232 nucleotides long. Lineage: Eukaryota; Metazoa; Chordata; Amphibia; Anura; Pelobatidae. The record is from the annotation of a GenBank genome assembly.
GGAGGAUGUGGCCUAUAGCCAUAAACUUCAACGUUGGAAGAGGGUGUCCAAAUGCCAAAAAGUGCUUGGCCACAGGGAGGUCAGCCUUAUUGUCCCUAUAGGCUAUGUGGAAAUAAGAAUGAUGGUUCCUUAUGCAUUCUUUCAAGGGGAUAUCUGGCUUUCCUAUAUAGGACAGUCCACAGGGACACAGCAGCUUGUAGAUUACAAAAUCUAUAGUGUAAGUGAGUCAAUG